This 2796-nucleotide long non-coding RNA is filed under the name Canis lupus familiaris (dog). Its description in RNAcentral is "lncRNA (ENSCAFG00000054042.1)". The record is from RNAcentral. Lineage: Eukaryota; Metazoa; Chordata; Mammalia; Carnivora; Canidae.
GGUUUUCAAUAAAGCAGACCAUAUAUAUAUAUCACUGGAAGGAAAAGCAAAUUUACUUCUAGAAAGCACAACCUGUGUUUAGAUAUAUUUCCUUAGUGUGUCCUAUUUAUUUGACUUACAGAACCUCUCUCCAUAUAUCCUGGACAAAUUUCAGGAACUCUAUGUAAACGGACAUACUUAUAGGGCUUACUUCUUUCUUUCUCACAGCCUAGAACUUGACAUAAGAGUUCAAGGGGAUUCUUGAUAUAUGCACUGCUUUUAAGGUGCCCGGAAAAUCCAGAGCCCCUCUGUACUCGUGAGAUCUUGCACCGUAAAUUAUUUCCCAAAAAACUGUCUGAUGACAAGAAAUGACCAAUUCCUCGAUUCUCCGGUAAAAUGCACAUAGUCUGAUGGAAACUUUCUUUACAGUGUUAUCUUUCCUUUUGACCUUCAUGGGAAUGAAGAUUCUGAAAGAUGGUGGUGCAGAGCGGAGAUGAGAGCUCAGUGUACUGGGUUGCUAUGGGUGAUGACGAGGAAAGAUUCUCUGAAAGUGAAAAUGAGGACCUCUCUCACGCUGGCCAGGGAACCAUCAUACUGUCAUCACAGCUGGAUAUGACAGGUUCCAGGAGUUUAGAAAUUGUUCUUGACAUGGUGGGAAGCAUUUUCAUGUCCUCGCACCAGGAAUACGUCAUUUCCUAUAGUUUGCAUCAACACUAAAUAACCCCUCUAAACAUCUGAGGCUGAAUGGGGUAAGAAGAGGAAUACAUUCCAUUCUUAUUAAAAAACAUCAAGUGAUUGUUUUCUGUAUCAAAUGCGGAAUUCCGGUUUUAUCAAACACGUCUCGGAGAAACACCCCAGCCUCCAAAGCAGACAGCAGUUGUAAACAUCUCCUCUUCCUGCUGAGAAGCUGCGGAAUUCCAGAGCCCUGACCUGCGAAAUACCAGUUCUCUGCUCCCUCCCCAUGGAACGGAAGCUAAGCCCUGAGGGAGGGCAUUUGUGUGUUUAGACCCUCUGCGUGAUGCCUAGUGCUGGACCAGGAGGGAGCUCAACCCACAAACCGCUAGCAAAGGGGAUGGAAAAAGACAGGACCCAGCAGAGGGGAACACAAUUGCUCACUAGCCCAGAAUCUGGAACUUGGAAGCCAAAUUAUGGUUAGCCACAUGGCUUUAUUAUUGACCUUCUUUGGCACGUAGUGCUUUAUGGGUACACUGUAUCUUCGCUUUUUCUGACCAGUCUCCAACUUCCCACCAACACUGCUUAUACCAAAAGAUGGCAAAUGGCACGUAUCCUGGCAUUUUUCUAUGGCUUAAGGCACAGUCAAGACUCUUGAUGAUGUAAAAGAAAAACAGAUGACUGCGUCUAUUUCCUGCCUGAUUACUACUACUUUAAAGGAAUGCCGAGGUUUUGUUUGUAAAAAUACACUGAUGAUUAUGUAACCAGUGAGACCUACAUUUAUUUCUACCUUAUUUUGUUUAGGGCAGGCUCAAUUAAACUUCACGGCCCUCAUAUAAUCUUCUUUAAUCUUUGUGGUUUAUUGGACAAUCUGGUGAACUUGUAUCACAUCCUGAGGUUGGGUGUGCAUUUCAAGGCAUCAGGGAAUGAUGAGUUCAGUUGUGAGGUGAAGGAGGCCAUAUGGGAUAGGUUUUCCAUCUUAAAUUAGCAUACAUCAGAGGCCUGGUGGGGGGGGGGGGAGUCCAUGGCAUCAGGUGACCAGAAUGAGGGGCCAUAGCAGUCUGUGACUCACGUGACAGCUGGGGAGGAAAUGGAACACUUUUCCCAAAUCCAACUGAGAUUGUUAAUGCCCAGACUGGGAAAGAGUGGUGCCACCUUUCUGUAGCAACAAGCCGGGCAAACCAGGGGUUUCUGGAGAAGCUUCUGUUUGCAUGGCUAAAUAAUAAAAGGUGGUCUUGAUAGGUCUACUCUUAAAUUGUGCGAUGGACCAUUAUCAGAGCUCUGCUAGCUGAUCAGACAUUUGACCCACUAAAAUGUAGUCUUGGGGUUUAUUUUGAUCAGGUCCGUGGGCAUAGGGGUGUGGGACAAAAGAAUUUGUCAGUCAAUUCUUCUGCAAUAUGCAUUCAUUUCUCCUCUUAACAUCAGCAGAAGCUAUUAUUAGGGAUUGAAUGUGCUUCACCCCCAUGUUGAAGCCCUAUUUCCCAAUGUGAUGGUAUUUGGAUGUAGGGCCUUUAGGAGGUCACCCGAUUUAGGUGGGGUCAUGAGGGUGGGGCCCCCGAGAUGGGAUUAGUGCCCUUGUGAGAGGAAGAGCCCAGAGCUUGCCCUCUACCAUAUGAGGACACAGUGAGAAGGCAAUCACCCAUAAGCCAGAAAGAGAGCUCUCACCACACCGAAUCUCCUAGAAUGGUGAUCUUGGACUUCUCAGCUUCCAGAAUUAUGAGAAAUAAAUGUCUAUUGUUUAAGCUGUCCAAUCUAUGGUGUUUUGUGGUAGCAGCCCAUGCUAAGACAAGCUCUUUGUAUUCAUUGAAUAGAAAACUGUUCAUACUCAACUCUAAAUGUACCAACCUCUCUUCUCCAUAUUUACUUAAUAUUUCCAGUAUUUAAUUAGUAUCUUGUAGUGUAUAAAGUUGGCCUUUGAACAUCAUGGGUUUGAACCACAUGAGUCCACUUGUGAAUUUUUUCUGAUAAAUACAGUUCCAUACUAUAAAUGUAUUUUAUGUUUUUCUUAACAGCACUUUCUUUUCUCUAGCUUGCUUGAUUAUAAGAAUACAGUAUAUAGUACAUAUAGUGUAUGAAAUAUAUGUCAAUUAACUGGUUAUGUUAUUGGUAAGGCUUGCGGUCAACAGCAGGCUAUUAGUAGUUAAG